AUACGGAGGGUGCAAGCGUUACUCGGAAUCACUGGGCGUAAAGCGCGCGCAGGCGGCUUGAUAAGUUGGAUGUGAAAGCCUACGGCUCAACCGUAGAACUGCAUCCAUAACUGUCAGGCUAGAGUGUGGGAGAGGAAGAUGGAAUUAGUUGUGUAGGGGUAAAAUCCGUAGAGAUAACUAGGAAUACCAAAAGCGAAGGCAAUCUUCUGGAACACUACUGACGCUGAGGCGCGAAGGCGUGGGGAGCAAACAGGAUUAGAUACCCCAGUAGUCC
Molecule: ribosomal RNA, 274 nt
Filed under: uncultured bacterium
Lineage: Bacteria
Description: partial 16S ribosomal RNA
Rfam family: Bacterial small subunit ribosomal RNA
Source: RNAcentral